Molecule: ribosomal RNA, 485 nt
Filed under: uncultured bacterium
Lineage: Bacteria
Description: partial 16S ribosomal RNA
Rfam family: Bacterial small subunit ribosomal RNA
Source: RNAcentral
AGUGAACGCUGGCGGCGUGCUUAACACAUGCAAGUCGAACGAGAACGGAAUAUAGCUUGCUAUAUUUGUCAGCUAAGUGGCGCACGGGUGAGUAAUGUAUAGAUAACCUGCCCUUAAGAAAGGAGUAACAGUUGGAAACGACUGCUAAUGCCCUAUAUGCCUUUAAUACAUAAGUAUGCAAGGGAAACGCUUUAGUGCUUAAGGAUGGGUCUGUAUGGUAUCAGCUUGUUGGUGAGGUAAUGGCUCACCAAGGCUAUGACGCCUAACUGGUUUGAGAGGAUGAUCAGUCACACUGGAACUGAGACACGGUCCAGACGCCUACGGGAGGCAGCAGUGGGGAAUAUUGCACAAUGGACGAAAGUCUGAUGCAGCAACGCCGCGUGGAGGAUGACACAUUUCGGUGCGUAAACUCCUUUUAUAUAGGAAGAUAAUGACGGUACUAUAUGAAUAAGCACCGGCCAACUCCGUGCCAGCCGCCGCCGUAA